RNAcentral lists this ribosomal RNA (253 nucleotides) under uncultured bacterium. RNAcentral describes it as "partial 16S ribosomal RNA". It matches the Rfam family "Bacterial small subunit ribosomal RNA", at positions 524 to 776 of the family's 1533-position model. The record is from RNAcentral.
UACAGAGGUCUCAAGCGUUGUUCGGAUUCAUUGGGCGUAAAGGGUGCGUAGGCGGCGCGGUAAGUCGGGUGUGAAAUCUCGGAGCUUAACUCCGAAACUGCAUUCGAUACUGCCGUGCUUGAGGACUGGAGAGGAGACUGGAAUUUACGGUGUAGCGGUGAAAUGCGUAGAUAUCGUAAGGAAGACCAGUGGCGAAGGCGGGUCUCUGGACAGUUCCUGACGCUGAAGCACGAAGGCCAGGGGGGCAAACGGG